This 93-nucleotide transfer RNA is filed under the name Polygala glomerata. RNAcentral's name for it is "tRNA-Ser". It matches the Rfam family "tRNA". From Rfam's summary of the family: Transfer RNA (tRNA) molecules are approximately 80 nucleotides in length. Their secondary structure includes four short double-helical elements and three loops (D, anti-codon, and T loops). Lineage: Eukaryota; Viridiplantae; Streptophyta; Magnoliopsida; Fabales; Polygalaceae. The record is from RNAcentral. RNAcentral also lists the same sequence under 2 other names.
GGAGAGAUGGCUGAGUGGUUGAUAGCUCCGGUCUUGAAAACCGGUAUAGUUUGAAACAUAGAACUAUCGAGGGUUCGAAUCCCUCUCUCUCCU